GAAAUUGUCUCCACAUUUGCCUCUGGCUCUUAUGGUUUGAACAGAAAAAUCAAAGAUGUUCACAUACUGGACUCCACUAAUCCAAGAAGCAAAAUACCUAAGCUAAUGAAGGGUCUUCUAAAGAUGCCAUAUCCCUAAGACAACAGGAAGCAGUCUAGAGAACACAAAACCUACAUUCCCAAGAGGUUCCAAUUCCAUUCCUGGGCUAUGUAGCAAAAACAACCUUGAUACACACCCAUAGCCACCACAAGUUCACAUGGGGAAAACCUCCAGUCCUUGCCUCCCUUCCCAGAAUGUCUCCAGAAGAUAAACUAUGAA
Long non-coding RNA from Peromyscus maniculatus bairdii (prairie deer mouse), 318 nucleotides. RefSeq lists it as uncharacterized. The record is from RefSeq and is a predicted model, not a curated record. NCBI's taxonomy places the organism in Eukaryota, Metazoa, Chordata, Mammalia, Rodentia, Cricetidae.